RNAcentral lists this unclassified non-coding RNA (85 nucleotides) under Algibacter pectinivorans. RNAcentral's name for it is "Flavo-1 RNA". The record is from RNAcentral. Lineage: Bacteria; Pseudomonadati; Bacteroidota; Flavobacteriia; Flavobacteriales; Flavobacteriaceae.
UAGGGAUUGGAGCAUUGUUGAAGCUCUUUUUGUGUUGUUGCGCCUAUGCAACACAAAAAAGCGACUGCGAAAAGCCCGACCGCAU